RNAcentral lists this transfer RNA (73 nucleotides) under Marmota monax (woodchuck). Its description in RNAcentral is "tRNA.Ala". The stretch from base 7 to 69 matches the Rfam family "tRNA", at positions 5 to 66 of the family's 71-position model. Rfam says of the family: Transfer RNA (tRNA) molecules are approximately 80 nucleotides in length. Lineage: Eukaryota; Metazoa; Chordata; Mammalia; Rodentia; Sciuridae. The record is from RNAcentral.
CUUGAGAUAUAGCUGAGUGGUAGAGUACCUGCCUAGCAUGCAUGAGAUCCUGGGUUGAAUCCCCUGUAUAAGG